GAGAGUAGAGCUCAGUGGUAGAGUGCAUGCCUAGCAUGCAUGAGGUCCUGGGUUCAAUUUCCAAAUACCUCCA
Molecule: transfer RNA, 73 nt
Filed under: Camelus bactrianus (Bactrian camel)
Lineage: Eukaryota; Metazoa; Chordata; Mammalia; Artiodactyla; Camelidae
Also listed under: 2 other names
Rfam family: tRNA
About the family: Transfer RNA (tRNA) molecules are approximately 80 nucleotides in length. Their secondary structure includes four short double-helical elements and three loops (D, anti-codon, and T loops).
Source: Rfam by way of RNAcentral